RNAcentral lists this ribosomal RNA (485 nucleotides) under uncultured Burkholderiales bacterium. RNAcentral's name for it is "bacterial SSU rRNA". It matches the Rfam family "Bacterial small subunit ribosomal RNA", at positions 30 to 507 of the family's 1533-position model. The record is from RNAcentral. Lineage: Bacteria; Pseudomonadati; Pseudomonadota; Betaproteobacteria; Burkholderiales.
AUUGAACGCUGGCGGCAUGCCUUACACAUGCAAGUCGAACGGCAGCGGGGAGCUUGCUCCUGCCGGCGAGUGGCGAACGGGUGAGUAAUGCAUCGGAACGUGUCCUGUUGUGGGGGAUAACUGAUCGAAAGAUCAGCUAAUACCUCAUGAGACCUGAGGGUGAAAGCGGGGGAUCGCAAGACCUCGCGCGACAGGAGCGGCCGAUGUCUGAUUAGCUAGUUGGUGAGAUAAAAGCUUACCAAGGCGACGAUCAGUAGCUGGUCUGAGAGGAUGAUCAGCCACAUUGGGACUGAGACACGGCCCAGACUCCUACGGGAGGCAGCAGUGGGGAAUUUUGGACAAUGGGGGAAACCCUGAUCCAGCCAUGCCGCGUGCGGGAUGAAGGCCUUCGGGUUGUAAACCGCUUUUGUCAGAGACGAAAAGGGACGUACGAAUAAUACGUUCCGCUGACGGUAUCCGAAGAAUAAGCACCGGCUAACUACGUG